GUGCCUAACACAUGCAAGUCGAACGAAGCAUUUCCUUGGAGAUUCGUCAAAGAGGGGAAUGACUUAGUGGCGGACGGGUGAGUAAUGUAUGAGCAACCUGCCUUCAGAGGGGGACAACAGUUGGAAACGACUGCUAAUACCGCAGUAAUGUAUUGAGGGGGCAUCCCCAUGAUACCAAAGGAGCAAUCCGCUGAAAGAUGGGCUCAUAUCUGAUUAGUUAGUUGGCAGGGUAACGGCCUACCAAGACUGCGAUCAGUAGCCGGACUGAGAGGUUGAACGGCCACAUUGGGACUGAGAUACGGCCCAGACUCCUACGGGAGGCAGCAGUGGGGAAUAUUGGGCAAUGGGCGAAAGCCUGACCCAAGCAACGCCGCGUGAAGGAAGAAGGUCUUCGGAUUGUAAACUUCUUUUAUGAGGGACGAAGGACGUGACGGUACCUCAUGAAUAAGCCACGGCUAACUACGUGCCAGCAGCUGC
Molecule: ribosomal RNA, 477 nt
Filed under: uncultured bacterium
Lineage: Bacteria
Description: bacterial SSU rRNA
Rfam family: Bacterial small subunit ribosomal RNA
Source: RNAcentral